AUAAACCUACGGGACGCAGCAGUGGGGAAUAUUGCACAAUGGGGGGAACCCUGAUGCAGCGACGCCGCGUGAGUGAAGAAGUAUUUCGGUAUGUAAAGCUCUAUCAGCAGGGAAGAAAAUGACGGUACCUGACUAAGAAGCCCCGGCUAACUACGUGCCAGCAGCCGCGGUAAUACGUAGGGGGCAAGCGUUAUCCGGAUUUACUGGGUGUAAAGGGAGCGCAGACGGCUGGGCAAGUCUGGAGUGAAAGGCGGGG
RNAcentral lists this ribosomal RNA (256 nucleotides) under uncultured bacterium. Its description in RNAcentral is "partial 16S ribosomal RNA". It matches the Rfam family "Bacterial small subunit ribosomal RNA", at positions 333 to 606 of the family's 1533-position model. The record is from RNAcentral.